This is a long non-coding RNA of Micropterus dolomieu (smallmouth bass), 385 nucleotides long. RefSeq lists it as uncharacterized. NCBI's taxonomy places the organism in Eukaryota, Metazoa, Chordata, Actinopteri, Centrarchiformes, Centrarchidae. The transcript has 2 exons. The record is from RefSeq and is a predicted model, not a curated record.
UUGUCCUUCCUCACUCUCGUGGCUAUUGGCGCUGCUCAACCUGCGCAUCUGCCAUCUAUCACCUCGUUACCUCUAGCAGCCUACACACCUGCCAUGCAUCAGCUCAUCACUUCUCCUGCAUAUGCUCUUCUUCCACUUGUUGCCAGUUCCGUCUUAUUUGCUCCAGUACCUGUCUUCUUGGCUUUGCCCCUCUGCCCUGGAUCCCUGCUCAGCUCAACCAUAGAUUCCAUCGUGGACAUUUGGUUCAGCUCAUCCCUGGUUUUCCUCCUGCACUGCUCACCAGCUCAGUCAUCCACGCUCCCAUGCUUCCUCUCUGCUCAGCUCAUUUCUGGCUCAUAUCCAUUCCCUCCCAAGCUCCCAAAUAAAGAAGCUUCUUUGUUUCUAA